RNAcentral lists this ribosomal RNA (441 nucleotides) under uncultured Methanosphaera sp. RNAcentral describes it as "bacterial SSU rRNA". It matches the Rfam family "Archaeal small subunit ribosomal RNA", at positions 45 to 492 of the family's 1478-position model. The record is from RNAcentral. Lineage: Archaea; Methanobacteriati; Methanobacteriota; Methanobacteria; Methanobacteriales; Methanobacteriaceae.
UAAGCAUGUUAGUCUUUGUAGUAAUACAAGGCAGACGGCUCAGUAACGCGUAGUCAACCUAACCUAUGGAUGGGGAUAACUUCGGGAAACUGAGGAUAAUACCCAAUAGGCCAUUAUACCUGGAAUGGUUUAUGGCUCAAAUGAAUUUCGCCGUAGGAUGGGACUGCGAGCUAUCAGCUUGUUGGUGAGGUAAUGGCCCACCAAGGCGAUUACAGCUACGGGCUCUGAGAGGAGUAGCCCGGAGAUGGGUACUGAGACAAGGACCCAGGCCCUAUGGGGCGCAGCAGGCGAGAAAACUUUGCAAUGAGCGAAAGCUCGACAAGGUUAAUCCGAGUGGUUUCUGCUAAAGAAACCUUUUGUUAGUUGUAAAACUACUAACGAAUAAGGGGUGGGCAAGUUCUGGUGUCAGCCGCCGCGGUAAAACCAGCACCUCAAGUGGUC